GUUGGCAUAGCACAAUUGGCAGUGCGCCUGACUUGUAAUCAGGGGAUAGCGGUUCGAAUCCGUUUGCCGGCUCCA
Molecule: transfer RNA, 75 nt
Filed under: Saprospiraceae bacterium
Lineage: Bacteria; Pseudomonadati; Bacteroidota; Saprospiria; Saprospirales; Saprospiraceae
Description: tRNA-Thr
Rfam family: tRNA
About the family: Transfer RNA (tRNA) molecules are approximately 80 nucleotides in length. Their secondary structure includes four short double-helical elements and three loops (D, anti-codon, and T loops).
Source: RNAcentral